UAGAAGCAUUAUAGAUUCAUAGUUACUAUUUUCUCCUCUGAAAAGUCUUCGUAUAAAAUCAAAUCUCUUAAAACUGGUAUUAUUUUCCAAAACAGUAAUUCAAGAUAAUGAAGACUAUGUAGCAGACACCUUUAGAGUAUGCCUACCCAGCUCACAUCACCCUGCAUCCUGGGAACUGCAUACCCAUCAGUCAUCUAGAUGCCAUGUCACUCUGGCCACGCCCACAAGUCACUAGGCCACAUGAAAACGUGAGAUCCUUUCUCAUCUGAGGUUCAUCCUCCUGUGAAUCUGGUGAAAGCCCAAUAAUAUCAAACCUGGAAAAUAAGGCAAAAUCUUAAAAAGAAUAUCUACUCAUGGUUUGAAUUAAGUGACUUCAGAGAUGGCACAGCUCCAGGUGACAAGGCCCAAGGAUGACUGUGGAUGACCAACGGUGAGAGAAGAAAAUGUUACUGUAGAAGAGAAGAGCCAAGGAAGGAUCAGCAGGAAAAACUCCCCAGAAGACGGUGAAAUAUAAAAAGAACAACAAAAAAGAAGAAAAAGGUGGUCUUCUGUAUUACCCUGUGGAUGAAAGGGGGCCACAUGCUGACCUGACAAGCUCAGGAGAGGCCUGCAUGGCAGUUUUGCAGACUCGGAGACCUAAAGU
Molecule: long non-coding RNA, 643 nt
Organism: Myotis lucifugus (little brown bat)
Lineage: Eukaryota; Metazoa; Chordata; Mammalia; Chiroptera; Vespertilionidae
Exons: 4
Source: RefSeq, a predicted model, not a curated record